This 418-nucleotide ribosomal RNA is filed under the name uncultured bacterium. RNAcentral's name for it is "bacterial SSU rRNA". It matches the Rfam family "Bacterial small subunit ribosomal RNA", at positions 358 to 773 of the family's 1533-position model. The record is from RNAcentral.
GGAAUAUUGGGCAAUGGCCGAGAGGCUGACCCAGCCAUGCCGCGUGCAGGAUGAAGGCUUUCUGAGUCGUAAACUGCUUUUGCCAGGGAAGAAUAAGGUUCGUGCGCGGACCGACGACGGUACCUGGUGAAUAAGCACCGGCUAACUCCGUGCCAGCAGCCGCGGUAAUACGGAGGGUGCAAGCGUUGUCCGGAUUUAUGGGGUUUAAAGGGUGCGUAGGCGGUUCUUUAAGUCCGGGUUGAAAGCCCACUGCUCAACAGUGGAACUGCCCUGGAAACUGGCGAACUUGAGUACAGACGAGGGUGGCGGAAUGGAUGGUGUAGCGGUGAAAUGCAUAGAUACCAUCCAGAACCCCGAUUGCGAAGGCAGCUGCCUAGACUGUAACUGACGCUGAGGCACGAAAGCGUGGGGAGCGAAC